RNAcentral lists this ribosomal RNA (428 nucleotides) under uncultured bacterium. RNAcentral's name for it is "bacterial SSU rRNA". It matches the Rfam family "Bacterial small subunit ribosomal RNA", at positions 355 to 775 of the family's 1533-position model. The record is from RNAcentral.
UGGGGAAUUUUGCGCAAUGGGCUAACGCCUGACGCAGCAACGCCGCGUGGAGGAUGAAGGUCUUUGGAUUGUAAACUCCUGUCAGCAGGGAAAAAGGGAGGGGGCCUAAUACGCUCUUGACUUGAUUGUACCUGCAGAGGAAGCCCCGGCUAACUCUGUGCCAGCAGCCGCGGUAAUACAGAGGGGGCGAGCGUUAUUCGGAAUUAUUGGGCGUAAAGGGCGCGUAGGCGGCUCUUCAAGUGACGGGUGAAAUCCCUCGGCUUAACCGAGGAACUGCCUGUCAGACUGGGGAGCUUGAGACCGGGAGAGGUGAGUGGAAUUCCCAGUGUAGCGGUGAAAUGCGUAGAUAUUGGGAGGAACACCAGUGGCGAAGGCGGCUCACUGGACCGGUACUGACGCUGAGGCGCGAAAGCGUGGGGAGCAAACAG